CAGCACAUUUUAGUAGCAAAAGAAAAUUGGUAUUGAAAGCAAAACAAGGAAAGAAAUCUCUCUGGGCCCCGCUUCUGUUUCUCAAAAGAAAACUGAAGGCUACCCAGAGGGUAGAUAUUGAGUCAGGAUCCAAACACAGUUGGACUUUACAGCUCUCAGGAUCGUAACACCUAACUUCUUCCAAAAAGUGAAAUGACUUUACUUCUAAUUUCCUCUAUUCAUCCAAUACCAUUUGCAAAUAGUGUCUGAGUGUAUACUAUUUUUCAAGCACUGUUCCUGGGAAUCCAGGUACACAGUAAACUUUAUAGACAAAGUUCCUGGUCUUAGUCCACUGUUGCAGUAGGAAAAGACAUCAACAUCAGGCCAAAUAGAU
RNAcentral lists this small RNA (373 nucleotides) under Pongo abelii (Sumatran orangutan). Its description in RNAcentral is "processed transcript". Lineage: Eukaryota; Metazoa; Chordata; Mammalia; Primates; Hominidae. The record is from RNAcentral.